GGUUCUCACGGUGAAGAUUAUUCGCAACAAACAAACUGGACAACCUGAAGGCUAUGGUUUUAUUGAGUUCAGGAGUCGUGCUGGUGCAGAAAAUGCUUUACAGACCUACAAUGGGACACUGAUGCCAUCUACUGAGCAGAAUUUUCGCCUUAACUGGGCAACCCUUGGUGCUGGUGAGAGACGCAAUGAUGACACUCCUGACUACACAAUCUUUGUUGGUGAUCUUGCUGCUGAUGUUUCGGAUUACAUAUUGCAAGAAACGUUCAAAACUGUUUACCCGUCAGUCAAGGGAGCGAAAGUUGUCACUGAUAGAACUACUGGACGUUCUAAAGGAU
This 335-nucleotide long non-coding RNA is filed under the name Lactuca sativa (garden lettuce). Its description in RNAcentral is "long non-coding RNA (LSAT_LNC007718)". The record is from RNAcentral. Lineage: Eukaryota; Viridiplantae; Streptophyta; Magnoliopsida; Asterales; Asteraceae.